This 976-nucleotide ribosomal RNA is filed under the name human gut metagenome. Its description in RNAcentral is "bacterial LSU rRNA". It matches the Rfam family "Bacterial large subunit ribosomal RNA", at positions 1954 to 2925 of the family's 2925-position model. The record is from RNAcentral.
AGGUAGCGAAAUUCCUUGUCGGGUAAGUUCCGACCUGCACGAAUGGCGUAACGAUGGCCACACUGUCUCCUCCCGAGACUCAGCGAAGUUGAAAUGUUUGUGAUGAUGCAAUCUACCCGCGGCUAGACGGAAAGACCCCAUGAACCUUUACUGCAGCUUUGCAUUGAACUGUGAACCGAUUUGUGUAGGAUAGGUGGGAGGCAGAGAAGAGGCCACGCCAGUGGUCUUGGAGCCGACCUUGAAAUACCACCCUGAUUUGUUUGCGGUUCUAACCACGGACAGUGAUCCUGUCUUGGGACCGUGCAUGGUAGGCAGUUUGACUGGGGCGGUCUCCUCCUAAAGGGUAACGGAGGAGUACGAAGGUACGCUAGGUACGGUCGGAAAUCGUGCUGAUAGUGCAAUGGCAAAAGCGUGCUUGACUGCGAGAGCAACAACUCGAGCAGAUGCGAAAGCAGGUCAUAGUGAUCCGGUGGCUCUGAAUGGAAGGGCCAUCGCUCAACGGAUAAAAGGUACUCUGGGGAUAACAGGCUGAUACCGCCCAAGAGUUCAUAUCGACGGCGGUGUUUGGCACCUCGAUGUCGGCUCAUCUCAUCCUGGGGCUGUAGUCGGUCCCAAGGGUAUGGCUGUUCGCCAUUUAAAGAGGUACGUGAGCUGGGUUUAAAACGUCGUGAGACAGUUUGGUCCCUAUCUGCCGUGGGCGUUGGAAGAUUGACGGGGGCUGCUCCUAGUACGAGAGGACCGGAGUGGACGCACCUCUGGUGUACCGGUUGUCACGCCAGUGGCAUUGCCGGGUAGCUAAGUGCGGAAGAGAUAACCGCUGAAAGCAUCUAAGCGGGAAACUUGCCUGAAGAUGAGUCUUCCCGGAGGUUGAACCUCCCUCAAGAGUCGUCCGAGACCAGGACGUCGAUAGGUCAGGUGUGUAAGCGCUGUAAGGCGUUGAGCUAACUGAUACUAAUUGCUCGUGAGGCUUGAUCCU